Molecule: ribosomal RNA, 253 nt
Filed under: uncultured bacterium
Lineage: Bacteria
Description: partial 16S ribosomal RNA
Rfam family: Bacterial small subunit ribosomal RNA
Source: RNAcentral
UACGUAGGGUGCGAGCGUUGUCCGGAAUUAUUGGGCGUAAAGAGCUUGUAGGCGAUUUGUCGCGUCUGCUGUGAAAAUCCGGGGCUCAACCCCGGACUUGCAGUGGGUACGGGCAGACUAGAGUGUGGUAGGGGAGACUGGAAUUCCUGGUGUAGCGGUGGAAUGCGCAGAUAUCAGGAGGAACACCGAUGGCGAAGGCAGGUCUCUGGGCCACUACUGACGCUGAGAAGCGAAAGCAUGGGGAGCGAACAGG